RNAcentral lists this ribosomal RNA (301 nucleotides) under uncultured bacterium. Its description in RNAcentral is "partial 16S ribosomal RNA". It matches the Rfam family "Bacterial small subunit ribosomal RNA", at positions 509 to 807 of the family's 1533-position model. The record is from RNAcentral.
CAGCCGCCGCGGUAAUACAGAGGGUGCAAGCGUUAAUCGGAAUUACUGGGCGUAAAGCGCGCGUAGGUGGUUCGCCAAGUUGGAUGUGAAAUCCCCGGGCUCAACCUGGGAACUGCAUCCAAAACUGGCGAGCUAGAGUAUGGUAGAGGGUGGUGGAAUUUCCUGUGUAGCGGUGAAAUGCGUAGAUAUAGGAAGGAACAUCAGUGGCGAAGGCGACCACCUGGACUGAUACUGACACUGAGGUGCGAAAGCGUGGGGAGCAAACAGGAUUAGAUACCCGUGUAGUCCCUGUCUCUUAUAC